Molecule: ribosomal RNA, 1300 nt
Filed under: metagenome
Description: bacterial LSU rRNA
Rfam family: Bacterial large subunit ribosomal RNA
Source: RNAcentral
CACACGACCGUACCGCAAACCGACACUGGUGCGCGAGAUGAGUAUUCUAAGGCGCUUGAGAGAACUCAGGAGAAGGAACUCGGCAAAUUGACACCGUAACUUCGGAAGAAGGUGUGCCUUUAGUAGGUGAACCUGUACAAGGGGAGCCCAAUGAGGUUGCAAAAAAUCGGUGGCUGCGACUGUUUAAUAAAAACACAGCACUCUGCAAACACGAAAGUGGACGUAUAGGGUGUGACGCCUGCCCGGUGCUGGAAGAUUAAAUGAUGGGGUGCAAGCUCUUGAUUGAAGUCCCAGUAAACGGCGGCCGUAACGAUAACGGUCCUAAGGUAGCGAAAUUCCUUGUCGGGUAAGCUCCGACCUGCACGAAUGGCGUAACGAUGGCCACACUGUCUCCUCCUGAGACUCAGCGAAGUUGAAAUGUUUGUGAUGAUGCAAUCUCCCCGCGGAAAGACGGAAAGACCCCAUGAACCUUUACUGUAGCUUUGUAUUGGACUUUGAACAGAUCUGUGUAGGAUAGGUGGGAGGCUUUGAAGUGUGGUCGCUAGAUCGCAUGGAGCCAACGUUGAAAUACCACCCUGGUGUGUUUGAGGUUCUAACCUAGGCCCGUAAUCCGGGUCGGGGACAGUGCAUGGUAGGCAGUUUGACUGGGGCGGUCUCCUCCCAAAGCGUAACGGAGGAGUUCGAAGGUACGCUAGGUACGGUCGGACAUCGUGCUAAUAGUGCAAUGGCAUAAGCGUGCUUAACUGCGAGACUGACAAGUCGAGCAGAUGCGAAAGCAGGACAUAGUGAUCCGGUGGUUCUGUAUGGAAGGGCCAUCGCUCAACGGAUAAAAGGUACUCUGGGGAUAACAGGCUGAUACCGCCCAAGAGUUCAUAUCGACGGCGGUGUUUGGCACCUCGAUGUCGGCUCAUCUCAUCCUGGGGCUGUAGCCGGUCCCAAGGGUAUGGCUGUUCGCCAUUUAAAGAGGUACGUGAGCUGGGUUUAAAACGUCGUGAGACAGUUUGGUCCCUAUCUUCCGUGGGCGCUGCAGAUUUGAGGAAGCCUGCUCCUAGUACGAGAGGACCGGAGUGGACACACCUCUGGUGUAUCGGUUGUCACGCCAGUGGCAUUGCCGAGUAGCUAUGUGUGGAAGAGAUAACCGCUGAAAGCAUCUAAGCGGGAAACUCGUUUCAAGAUGAGAUCUGCCGGGGCCUUGAGCCCCCUAAAGAGUCGUUCAAGACCAGGACGUUGAUAGGUCGGGUGUGGAAGCGCAGUAAUGCGUUAAGCUAACCGAUACUAAUUGCUCGUGCGGCUUGACCCU